This 1154-nucleotide long non-coding RNA is filed under the name Gossypium barbadense (sea-island cotton). Its description in RNAcentral is "long non-coding RNA (GBAR_LNC022437)". Lineage: Eukaryota; Viridiplantae; Streptophyta; Magnoliopsida; Malvales; Malvaceae. The record is from RNAcentral.
GUUCAUUCAAAGAUAAGGAAUAGAGAUUAAAGAAUUACACUAUAGUUUAUUUUUCUGUUCAUACAUAAUUUUGCAUAGUAUCUUACAUGGUAUCAGUCGCCUAGUCCUGGUACGUGCUUCCAUUUUCGUGUUAUGGCACCGUCAACAGAUUCUAACUCUGUUGAUCCUAUGAGUCCGUCAUUUUCAAGUGCAUGCUUGGUUCAAUCUUUGCCUCACCAUGACACGUUGAAGCUAGAGGAAGGAAACUUUGUUCAAUGGAAGCAACAUAUCCAGUUGAUAAUAGAAGGAUAUGAGCUGCAAGGAUUCUUGGAGGGCAUGUUGUCUGCUCCACCUCGGUUCGUCGUAUCUCCAGAAGGAGCACUUAUUCCAAAUCCAAAUACAUCUGUGUUUAAUCAACGGGAUAAAUUGUUAACUUCUUGGCUUCUUUCUACAAUUAGUUCAUCGCUUCUGUCAUGUUUUACCUCUGCUAAAUCUGCAUGUGAAAUUUGGAGCACAGUGAAUCAUCUUUUUGCUGCUUCAACUGGUGCAGAAUUUUCUCGUAUUAAACAUGAUCUGCAUUCUAUAAAGUAGGGCAAAUUAACUAUAAAAUAAUAUGUUACAGAAAUAGAAAAUAUUUGUGCGUUACUUGCAGCCUCUGGAUCGGUAGUGUCAGAGGUAGAAGUUGUUUUGGCUGGCCUCUCGUCGGACUUUGAUGCUGUGUUGACUUUGGCCUCAUUCUCGAUGGAGUCUCUUCCUUUUCAGCGUUUAGUCGACGUUCUCUUAGAGUUUGAGAUUCGAUAGAUGCGACUAGUGCGUGAGGUUUCGAUGCAAGCUCAUCUUGUUGAACCACUUUUGGUUGCUGCGGUGGCUGACUCAGAUUUGUCGCGCGAUGUGCAUGGAGGACGUUUGCGUGGGCGUGGUUUCCAGUCGAGAGUGCAGUGUUAGAUCUACAACAGGUUCGGUCAUUUGGCACAGCGCUGUUGCUAUCGCUUUAAUUGCACUUACGACGACCUAAAUGCUUCCAACACGGUGCGAGUUUCCUCUUUUACAUAUAGUGGUCAAGGGCUACAAGGUGGUGUUUAUGGUGGUUCUAGUUCUGGAGAGAAUUUUUUUGAGAGGCUGCACACAGUUUGAAAAUCAGAGUUGGUAUCUGCCGCAAGCUAGGGCUACCUCUG